UGCUGGCUUGGCAGGCGGUGCGGCAGGCGUUUCCGCCGCCUUGGGCUCGGGUUCGGGUUCCUUGGCAGGCAC
RNAcentral lists this transfer RNA (72 nucleotides) under Rosistilla carotiformis. RNAcentral's name for it is "Planctomycetes bacterium Poly24 tRNA-Gly". Lineage: Bacteria; Pseudomonadati; Planctomycetota; Planctomycetia; Pirellulales; Pirellulaceae. The record is from RNAcentral.